This is a long non-coding RNA of Gadus macrocephalus (Pacific cod), 841 nucleotides long. RefSeq lists it as uncharacterized. Lineage: Eukaryota; Metazoa; Chordata; Actinopteri; Gadiformes; Gadidae. The transcript is spliced from 2 exons. The record is from RefSeq and is a predicted model, not a curated record.
CAUUGAAAAGAAUAGGCCAAAAAAAUGUAGGUGUGUCACAUGUUUAGAGCCAUUAUUGUAAUGUGUUUUCCGCUGUGAGCAGUUUUGCUGCAAUCAGGUGUGAGACUGGGUUUAAGGAACGUGGUUAGUUUCAGUUUCUGAGGGUGUCUGCUCAAAAAUCGGAUAAACCGGAUUGUUGGUUUGACGAAUCCUGCGCAGCCCGCCCCCCCCUUCUGAAGUCGAAAAUAAUCUCCCGAUUGAAAUGCAUUGGUUUAAUAUUGAAUCAAUUAAAUAUUAAAAUAUACAUUAUAUAUAAAUAAAUAUACAAUUAUUUAGUUAUAAUAUUAUAAGUAGACCAUGUAGCUAUUAUCGUUAUAACAAGAUCUGUAUCUGACCAUUGACAAUCCACUUCCACCAAUCCAAUCAACGAAGAGGGUUGUAACACCAAGUAACACGGUGUGCUUUUUCUAUGGGGAAUGUGGUUCAGGUAUGACAAUAUUUAAAUAUUUAUAAUAUAAAAAACUAGCCUAUACGUAGGCCUACAGCAUAUCAUACAUUUGACAUAUAGAGUAAGACUAUUAUAUGUAUAAGGUUAUAGGCCGAAUUCGGUUAAAAUGCAGCCUCUGCUGGCCCACAACUAGAUUGUCUCGUUGUCUGUUAUACGCUUUAUAAGUUAAUUAUAUUUAAAUUAUUAUAACCAUGGCUGUAGUGGUCAAAUUAGAGGUGGGUAAACUAUGAAUUCUGUGAUCAGACCGACCUCGACACAACGCAACGCAAAGUGUUGCGACUCUGUAUGGCUAGCCUGGCUAUAUUCCAUUAUGUUAUCAAUUAAAGUCAUAUUAAAUCAAUCAAUGACAGUCAA